UAAGGAAUAUUGGUCAAUGGACGCAAGUCUGAACCAGCCAUGCCGCGUGCAGGAGGACGGCCCUAUGGGUUGUAAACUGCUUUUUGUACGGGAACAAACCUUGAUACGUGUAUCAAGCUGAGUGUACCGUAAGAAUAAGGAUCGGCUAACUCCGUGCCAGCAGCCGCGGUAAUACGGAGGAUCCGAGCGUUAUCCGGAUUUAUUGGGUUUAAAGGGUGCGUAGGCGGCAUGCUAAGUCAGGGGUGAAAGACGGUGGCUCAACCAUCGCAGUGCCUUUGAUACUGGUGUGCUUGAAUGCGGAUGAGGUAGGCGGAAUGUGGCAAGUAGCGGUGAAAUGCAUAGAUAUGCCACAGAACACCGAUUGCGAAGGCAGCUUACCAAGGCGUAAUUGACGCUGAUGCACGAAAGCGUGGGGAUCAACAGGAUUAGAUACCC
This 435-nucleotide ribosomal RNA is filed under the name uncultured bacterium. RNAcentral describes it as "bacterial SSU rRNA". It matches the Rfam family "Bacterial small subunit ribosomal RNA", at positions 355 to 787 of the family's 1533-position model. The record is from RNAcentral.